RNAcentral lists this ribosomal RNA (492 nucleotides) under uncultured bacterium. RNAcentral describes it as "partial 16S ribosomal RNA". It matches the Rfam family "Bacterial small subunit ribosomal RNA", at positions 29 to 507 of the family's 1533-position model. The record is from RNAcentral.
AGUGAACGCUGGCGGCAUGCCUAACACAUGCAAGUCGAACGGCCGGACAGUAAGAGUUCGCCUCUAAGGUUGGCGGGUGGCGGGUGGGUGAGGCAUAGAUAGCAUUCCUAUAAUACGUGGGGGACUUCGUAGGGCCACAUAUGCUAACAGAGAACACGACCAACCGCAGAAAGCAGCGGAGCAUCACACUCUGCCUGUCACUUAGAGCCGAUGUCGGAUCAGCUUGUUGGAGGGGUAAAGGCACACCAAGGCAACGAUCCGUAGCGGGUCUGAGAGGAUGAUCAGCCACACUGGAACUGAGACACGGUCCAGACUCCUACGGGAGGCAGCAGUGGGGAAUAUUCGGCAAUGGGCGAAAGCCUGAUGCAGCCAUGCCGCGUGGGUGAAGAAGGUCUUCGGAUUGUAAAACCCUUUUGUUAGGAAAGAAAAGCUGCGUGUUAAUAUCCCGCUGUUCUGACGGUACCCAAAGAGAAAGCACCGGCUAACUUCGUG